This 221-nucleotide non-coding RNA is filed under the name Priestia megaterium. RNAcentral's name for it is "Bacillus megaterium T-box sequence". It matches the Rfam family "T-box leader". Rfam says of the family: Uncharged tRNA acts as the effector for transcription antitermination of genes in the T-box leader family. Lineage: Bacteria; Bacillati; Bacillota; Bacilli; Caryophanales; Bacillaceae. The record is from RNAcentral.
AACAGUACGGAGACAGGGACAGUAGCUUUUUUAGUUUGUCAAAGCGAAUCGAGGAUGGUGUGAGCUCGAUAACAAACAAAAAAGUGAAAAUCACCCUAGAGUACCAUUGCUGAACUGAUGAUAGUAAGCAGUGGCGGUUUAUUCACGUUACGAAUGCAAAGAGGAUUUGCGUGCAGCAAAUCUACUAGGGUGGUACCGCGGGAGGCCUUCUCGUCCCUUUU